UACGUAGGGGGCAAGCGUUGUCCGGAAUCAUUGGGCGUAAAGAGCGUGUAGGCGGCCAGGUAGGUGGGUUGUGAAAACUGGAGGCUCAACCUUCAGACGUCGACCCAAACCCCCUGGCUAGAGUCCGGAAGAGGAGAGUGGAAUUCCUGGUGUAGCGGUGAAAUGCGCAGAUAUCAGGAAGAACACCCGUGGCGAAGGCGGCUCUCUGGGACGGUACUGACGCUGAGACGCGAAAGCGUGGGGAGCGAACAGG
This 253-nucleotide ribosomal RNA is filed under the name uncultured bacterium. RNAcentral describes it as "partial 16S ribosomal RNA". It matches the Rfam family "Bacterial small subunit ribosomal RNA", at positions 524 to 776 of the family's 1533-position model. The record is from RNAcentral.